GAGAAAUUUGGAUUAAUACCGCAUAGAAUUAUUAGUUGGCAUCAGCUUGAUAAUUAAAGUUUCGGCGGUAAAAGAUGAGUAUGCGUUCUAUUAGCUAGAUGGUAAGGUAACGGCUUACCAUGGCAACGAUAGAUAGGGGCCCUGAGAGGGGGAUCCCCCACACUGGUACUGAGACACGGACCAGACUCCUACGGGAGGCAGCAGUGAGGAAUAUUGGACAAUGGGCGAGAGCCUGAUCCAGCCAUGCCGCGUGCAGGAAGACUGCCCUAUGGGUUGUAAACUGCUUUUAUACAGGAAGAAACUCCUCUACGUGUAGAGGCUUGACGGUACUGUAAGAAUAAGGAUCGGCUAACUCCGUGCCAGCAGCCGCGGUAAUACGGAGGAUCCAAGCGUUAUCCGGAAUCAUUGGGUUUAAAGGGUCCGUAGGUGGAUAAUUAAGUCAGGGGUGAAAGUCUGCAGCUCAACUGUAGAAUUGCCUUUGAAACUGGUUAUCUUGAGUUAUUAUGAAGUAGUUAGAAUAUGUGGUGUAGCGGUGAAAUGCAUAGAUAUCACAUAGAAUACCAAUUGCGAAGGCAGAUUACUAAUAAUAUACUGACACUGAUGGACGAAAGCGUGGGGAGCGAACAGGAUUAGAUACCCUGGUAGUCCACGCCGUAAACGAUGGUUACUAGUUGUUCGAACUUCGGUUUGAGUGACUAAGCGAAAGUGAUAAGUAACCCACCUGGGGAGUACGUUCGCAAGAAUGAAACUCAAAGGAAUUGACGGGGGCCCGCACAAGCGGUGGAGCAUGUGGUUUAAU
Molecule: ribosomal RNA, 799 nt
Filed under: Bizionia argentinensis
Lineage: Bacteria; Pseudomonadati; Bacteroidota; Flavobacteriia; Flavobacteriales; Flavobacteriaceae
Description: bacterial SSU rRNA
Rfam family: Bacterial small subunit ribosomal RNA
Source: RNAcentral